CCUACGGGAGGCUGCCGUGGGGAAUAUUGGACAAUGGGGGGAACCCUGAUCCAGCCAUGCCGCGUGUGUGAAGAAGGCCCUCGGGUUGUAAAGCACUUUCAGUGAGGAAGAACGCCUGGUGGUUAAUACCCAUCAGGAAAGACAUCACUCACAGAAGAAGCACCGGCUAACUCCGUGCCAGCAGCCGCGGUAAUACGGAGGGUGCGAGCGUUAAUCGGAAUUACUGGGCGUAAAGCGCGCGUAGGUGGCUUGAUAAGCCGGUUGUGAAAGCCCCGGGCUCAACCUGGGAACGGCAUCCGGAACUGUCAAGCUAGAGUGCAGGAGAGGAAGGUAGAAUUCCCGGUGUAGCGGUGAAAUGCGUAGAGAUCGGGAGGAAUACCAGUGGCGAAGGCGGCCUUCUGGACUGACACUGACACUGAGGUGCGAAAGCGUGGGUAGCAAACAGGAUUAGAUACCCUUGUAGUC
Molecule: ribosomal RNA, 465 nt
Filed under: Vreelandella stevensii
Lineage: Bacteria; Pseudomonadati; Pseudomonadota; Gammaproteobacteria; Oceanospirillales; Halomonadaceae
Description: partial 16S ribosomal RNA
Rfam family: Bacterial small subunit ribosomal RNA
Source: RNAcentral